UAGUCAUAUGCUUGUCUCAAAGAUUAAGCCAUGCAUGUCUAAGCACAAGCCGAUUAAUGGUGGAGCCGCGAAUGGCUCAUUACAACAGCCAUAGUUUCUUAGAUCUUACUUUUCUACUUGGAUAACUGUGGUAAUUCUAGAGCUAAUACACGCAAACAAGCUCAGACCUUACGGAAUGAGCGCAUUUAUUAGAACAAAAACCAAUCGGGCUUCGGUCCGUCAUUUGGUGAAUCUGAAUAACUUUGCUGAUCGCACGGUCUUCGUACCGGCGACAUAUCUUUCAAAUGUCUGCCUUAUCAACUUUCGAUGGUAGUUUACGCGCCUACCAUGGUUGUAACGGGUAACGGAGAAUAAGGGUUCGACUCCGGAGAGGGAGCCUGAGAAACGGCUACCACAUCCAAGGAAGGCAGCAGGCACGCAAAUUACCCACUCCCGGCACGGGGAGGUAGUGACGAAAAAUAACGAGACGGCUCGCUAUGCGGUCCGUCAUCGGAAUGGGUACAAUUUAAAUCCUUUAACGAGGAUCUAUU
This 530-nucleotide ribosomal RNA is filed under the name uncultured eukaryote. RNAcentral's name for it is "SSU rRNA". It matches the Rfam family "Eukaryotic small subunit ribosomal RNA", at positions 21 to 549 of the family's 1831-position model. The record is from RNAcentral.